Molecule: ribosomal RNA, 319 nt
Filed under: uncultured eukaryote
Lineage: Eukaryota
Description: partial 18S ribosomal RNA
Rfam family: Eukaryotic small subunit ribosomal RNA
Source: RNAcentral
CCCUUAGAUGUUCUGGGCUGCACGCGCGCUACACUGGUCUUCGCAAACGGAUGCAUUCUCGAAGGAGAAUGCCAAUCUUGGAAUCUAUGCCUUGGUCGGGACAGUUGCUUGCAAUUUUUCGACUCGAACCAGGAAUUCCUUGUAAUCGUGAUUCAUCACAUCACGAUGAAUACGUCCCUGCCCUUUGUACACACCGCCCGUCGCUCCUACCGAUCGAAGAGUUAGGUGAAUUGUUUUGAUCGAUAAGAUUUGACUAUGGUCAACUCUCGUUGUGAAAUUCUGUGAAUCUGACUGUUUAGAGGAAGGAAAAGUCGUAACA